AGAAAAUUCUCUCGAUGAACAGCUACGAGCUCUCAGCCCAGCUCUGAAGUGUGCGGUGGAGGAGAAGGGCGCGGCAUGCAGGGAGGCUGAGGACGCCAGGACGAGGGUGGAGCUGGAGAUGAGCACGCUCGCGGAGAACGAAGCUACCCUGAGGGCGGAUUUCCUCUCUGCGCGCCGACACCAGCAGGAACUGGAGAAGAGCGGCGAUGAACUGAAGACGGCAAAGCUAGAAAUGGAAGCGAAGAUGGAGAACACACAGGAUGAGAGGCGAGCGUUGCUGGAGCGGUG
Long non-coding RNA from Priapulus caudatus, 288 nucleotides. RefSeq lists it as uncharacterized. The transcript has 3 exons. Lineage: Eukaryota; Metazoa; Priapulida; Priapulimorpha; Priapulimorphida; Priapulidae. The record is from RefSeq and is a predicted model, not a curated record.